RNAcentral lists this long non-coding RNA (509 nucleotides) under Coturnix japonica (Japanese quail). Its description in RNAcentral is "lncRNA (ENSCJPG00005005023.1)". The record is from RNAcentral. Lineage: Eukaryota; Metazoa; Chordata; Aves; Galliformes; Phasianidae.
GGGUUUGAAAAUAGGGGCAAAUUGUGUUUGAAAAUAGGGGGCAAAUUGGGUUUGAAAAUGGGCAAUUUGGGUUUGAAAAUAGGGGGCAAAUAUCAGAGUAUGAAAAUGGGCAAACUGCGUCUGAAAAUAGGGGGCAAAAUAGGGGGCGAAUAUCAGAGUCUGAAAAUAGGGGGCAAAUUUUGUUUGAAAAUAGGGGGCAAAUUGUGUUUGAAAAUAGGGGGCAAAUAUCAGAGUCUGAAAAUAGGGGGCAAAUUGUGUUUGAAAAUGGGGGGCAAAUUGUGUUUGAAAAUAGGGGGCAAAUCCACGUCUGAAAAUGGGGGGCAGCGCUGUGACCCCCAAAUGAGCACAGAGCUUCAUUUCAAAAUGGGGGGCAGCUCUGCGUCUGAAAAUAGGGGGCAAAUCCACGUCUGAAAAUUGGGGGCAAAUCUGAUGCCCCCAGUUGGGGGCAGCGCAGUGUCUGAAAAUAGGGGGCAAAUAAAGGGGGGGGGGUAAAUCCGUGUCUGAAAAUG